UUCAACUUUUGUGAAUGGCAACUCAUUUAGUCAUUGGCACUGCUGGUAAACCAAACCACAACUUCUAUUUCAUUUUAUACAGUUCCAACAGCAUCAAACCACUGUGGCUCUCUGAGAUCUGUUGUAGUUGCUUGCGGUCUGAAACACGAUUGAAAUUGUAAAAAAAAAAGUAAAUUUAAUAUUAUUGGAGAAUGGUUAAGAACAUUUAUUUUUAGCCCAUGGCCCUCAAACAACUGAAAGCCCACAAGACCAUGACAUCAUUUUGCAUUGACAUUGCUCCCCAGAAUUUUACGGCUCAUGUGAUUGGGUAAAAAAAGUGGUUCCAUGAAAAAAAUUGUCAGAUUUCAAAUGGCAAACUUCUUGCAGCAGCCGAGCAACUGCCACUGAGAUGAAUGGCAAUGCUAACGGAUUGCUUUCUGCAGGUAUUACAGACCUCCUUGAUUAGCUUGUUCAGUUGUGUUUGGUAAGUUUUGGAGCAAAACUCUGCAGAAUGGUGGCCCUCCAGGAGCAGAUUUGAAAAGCAUUACAAUCCACUAUUACACGGCUUAGACAUUACUAAUCACACAGUACUGAGGAUUACUACUAUUCAAAUCACUAAUGUAUCCUAUUUGCCUUUCAGUCCUAGUCAUUAUGUUGUGAUUAUUAAUCGUGUAUUUACUGAUAGCGAACCCCAUUUUUCAUCUCUUUCCCUUCAUUUUAAGUAAAGGACGACGUAAAUGAAAUGAAUGGUACUUCUUCUGUUCGUCAGUGCUUAAAAAUGCUGCUUGUGCUCGGAAUGGAAAUGGCUGAUGAAAAAAAUUGUAGGAUAGACAGGGGGAUGGGACAGAAUGAGGGAGAGAAAGGGAAUAGAGGACAGAAAACAAGGUGGGGGGAGAACUUGUUUACUGAACCCAAAGACAUGAACCUGUCAACCCCAUUAUUCAGAGUUUGAAUAUAAUAGGCACUUCAUUGCUUCUCAAAUCAACACACACACUGAUUAAAUCUUGCUGCGAGAAGCGCUGAGGCUGACCAGAACCUCUCAGAGCUGUCAGCAUACACAUAAAUACUCAUAUAUAAAAAAUAUACAAUACAUUUGCAGUUAUUAGCUCUUUUAUUACAAUACCUCAGAUAUUGGGCAAGUUGCAUACAUAGCCACUAUAUUAAGACUGUCUUAAGGAAUAAUUUGACUUACUUUUUUCAUUCAAACUAAACCAGUCUACCAUUUUUUUAACUGAUUUUAAAAAGUUAUGACCAGUCUAGAAGAAAACAAAUUAUAUGACUAACAUUUUAAGCAGUUUAUGCAACAGGCCCAAUGUUUCUAUAAAAGGCAAAAAUGCCCCAAAAUGUAAUAUCCAGAUUGUGUUUUUGACUCAUUCUGAGUGACUGAUAUUCAUGAAGGAGAAAGGGAAAUUGGUAAAGGUUCUCUGUAAUAAUGGUUAUUCACAAAGCCUAAUGGAUCAAAGGCUACUGAAUUGU
Long non-coding RNA from Cyprinus carpio carpio, 1455 nucleotides. The record is from Ensembl. NCBI's taxonomy places the organism in Eukaryota, Metazoa, Chordata, Actinopteri, Cypriniformes, Cyprinidae.